RNAcentral lists this long non-coding RNA (4614 nucleotides) under Gallus gallus (chicken). RNAcentral's name for it is "lncRNA (ENSGALG00010030047.1)". Lineage: Eukaryota; Metazoa; Chordata; Aves; Galliformes; Phasianidae. The record is from RNAcentral.
GGGGCUGCGCGCCUGUUUAGGAUGUCACCAACCACGACGGGCUUCCUCCCAGCGAGUGGAGCUCAGGGGUAAUCGGAGCUGUUUGGAGGGCCGGAUUCCUGACCAGCACUGAGUCGGAACAGCCGUGUGCCAGCAGCACGGCCAACAGGCGAUGCUGAGUUUGGGCUAAGAGCUCUUAACCCCAUGUUGACAUUACCAACCCGAUAGAGGGGAUGGCCUCAUGCUGGGCCCAGCGCUUGGAGUGCUGCAGAACUGCAGGCAGGAUACAAACAUCCGCAUCAGGAAUAACUGUUAGGAUCCCAGCGGUGUGUCCCACACUGAGCAGACGGCUCCGAGACUGCUGCCACCUCCAUGGGAACUGCGGGAGCCCCUGGGGCUCAGUCUGAGGUCUCGUGCUCUGAAAUGAGGGCUGUGCUGUGAGCACGUAUCUCACAGGUGAGCUGUGAGCAGCACUGAAAUAGAGUAGAGUGAAGAGCUGUAAGGUAGCUUGAAGACUGACGUUAAUUACGCAGUAAUUUUCUAGCUGUGAUCCAUGACGGACCUGUUGCUGAUCCCCAGACAGAUGGCGAGUCACACAGGAUGGGCUUCUCUUCAUUUCCAUCUGCUAUAUUUCAUUAAGGCAGCUAAAAAUAAAAAUAUCCUGAAUGUUAUUUUUCCAUGCAAGCUACUGCUACAGCAAUGUGAUACGGCAGUGACUGGAGCUUCCGAGCGACAAGGAAUUCUGAACUGAUUUGUGAUCCUUGGUGUGAAAAGAGACCGCGACCCCCUGCACCAGCCUCAGUGUGAGCGCUGCGCUUCCCUGCGUGCGCUGCAGAAGAGUCUGUUCACAACAAUUCUGUGCUAGAAGGGGAGCACAGGCGUGGCUGUCUCCUCUGAGCGGAAGUUCCCAUUUCUGGGCUCUAACUAUUGCAGAUGGUGCCAUGAAAUGGUGGUGCAGUCACAGAGGUCUCCAUGCAGUGGGAACACGUCCCCAAACCGCUGCUCUGAGCUUUCAGCUGGCGCAGUGCACAGAGCCCUCUUACAGCUUUGUUUGGGGCAUUGUUGGGAUUUGGUUUUAUGGAUUUUUCAGCUCUACUGCGUCUUUGCACAGUGAAGCCGUGCUCUUGCACACACAGCUCUACUAAUCUGUGUUAGUGCCCGGACCUGGCUGAUGCUUGGGCUUCAGAACCGAGGAUGGAGUCUGGCACUGAGAUUUUUAGGCCCAGGCUAUUUUUGUUCCUGGCUCCACUGGCCAUUGCUAUAGAUCUGAAUGCUGAGCGUGGACGUGCGCAAGAGAAGAGCUCUAUUAUUUCACCCUACUUCGAAAAGCCAGAAGGAAGCUUUCAGGCAGCACAGCUCGCAGCACCACCAAUGCUCCGUCUCAGUGGCAGUGCCUGCAGCGCCGCUCGAGGACCUUUGUUCCGACCCCUCCUUUCUUCGUCGCUCCAUGCUUCGAAAAACAAACUGUUUCCUCGCCCUCCUGGCAGUGCUCCCAUGAGGAAAUUCCUGCUCUGCAGCCACACCAUCCCUCCUUCAGUCGGGUCACGUUGCUUCCCCAUUCGCCCGGCCCAGCCCUCACCCCAGGAGAACCUUUGGCUCCGUUCUUGCGCCUGUUCUUCCUCCUCCGUUUAUUGGAGUUCCACCCUAAGCUCACACUGACUCGGGCCCCAGUUUAGCAAGGAAUUUUAUCAUGUGCUCCACGUAACUGGCUUAGACCUUCCAUCUGUUUUUAGCUUAUCAGAGCUGCGGGGGGAGCCGCCCGGUUCCGCACCCCCGGCUCUGUGUGCGUUGGCGUUUCUGAGCGAAGAGUUCACUUGCCUAAAGUGGAGCAGGAGCUCAGAUAAGGAGCGCUGCUGAGCUGGGCUCCAUCCAGCAUGGUGGCACGUCUCCCCAAAGCUCGUGGUGCUCCGCAGCUCUGACACGUUCCAGGUUGUUGGGUGCUCCUCCCACAGCUCACCGCUGGCAUAUAGCUGGGUGCUCUGCGCUUUGCUGCACGUACUGGGAAUCCUGAGAGAGGAGUAUAGGAUUAAAUCUUAGUCUUGGGAGCAGAGAAUGAAGCCAAAGUGGGCAAAAAGUGAUGAGCCCAGAAGUAUUGGACUCAGUGUUUCAUUCCCAGUGGAGUCGGACGCAGCAGAGUCUGAUUUUGCUGCUGGCACCAUUGUGCCAAUACACGGUGUGAUGGCAACGGCUACAGGAGCAGAAGGAUGCCUGGACUGCACGCAGCCGCUUAUAACUUCUGCCUUCAAAGGUUGCCAUAUUUAAUUCACAUCAUGUAAAAAUUCCAUUGGCGAAGGGUGGGGAAAACUGAACGUUGAAUGAGGACUUCUGUUCUCCCGCAGAGCUGCACUGGAGGAGCCGGGCUGUGGCAGUCGGAUUUCUGCUAUAGAACAAACCUCUGCACAACCUGCCCAGGCUUCGGGUCGCAUGCGGCGGAGCAGAAUAGCAGACCGUGGGAUUUUUAACCCUAUGAUGAGCUGUGAAUUUUGGAGAUCCUCCUUGGCGUGCGUUCAAGCCAGCCUUAAUGAGAAACGCCCCAUGCCAACCUCAUGACUCAGCCCAACCGGCAGCUUCUGACACCCAUCCCAAAAGUCGUUGGCCUUCCCUGGGAAGAAAACAAGGCUGCCCCUCCCUUCCUUCCUGCAGCCGCACGGGCUGCUGCUAAGCCAGUGCAUCUUUUGUAUCAGCAGGAUUAGACGUUGGUCUUGUGCCUACAGACUAUGAGACGAGCUGGUGGCCGUGGUUCCUCCCGCCUCACAGCCCCGCUGCGCUGAGCGGCUCCGCUGUGCCACCCCGCUCUGUGCUCAGGCAUGGGAGGUUUGUGCAGCCAGCGUGCAAAAUCCUCCUGCAGCUCCGGUGCAAAUCUUUGUGAAGACAGCUACGCAUCAAAUAUAUCGUGAUGUUGCUUCUAAAUCCUAUAUUAUAUUUGUAGGAGGUACAUACCUACGUACUCUCUGUAUUAUUUAUACGGUGUAUGAAUACCCGAGCAGCUGCUACCCAGAGCCAAUGUCUGCAAUGGGAAAUGCUGCUCAAAUACUGCUGGAAUGCUGGGGUAAUCCUCGCCCUGUGCCCACUGCACGGCCCCACGGGGAGAGGCAGCGGCGACGGGCAGCGGCUCAGCUCUGCCACUGCGAAUUUCUUGACCUCUAACACUUUGUUUUGUUUUUAUUAUCAUUUUUUAAUCUCAGCCUUUUCCAUGCAUGGGCUGCGCAGCACAGAGCGCCAUAAAAAAUCGCAGAUAGAGACAGAGCCAGAUCUGUGAUGCAGUUACCAGUACUUCAUUAACCUUUAUCUUGACAAGUGGAAAUAACGUGCUGUGAUUCAGGGUAAAUUUUUCACUUGCAGAGAAAAAAUGGUGCCAAAAGGAAGCAAACAAGCUAGACAUGAACCAAUAGAAGUCUUGAUAGAAGAAAACAGCAGGGCCGGGCUGGCUGGGCACACUGCUGCUGUGCUCCUAUGUGCUCUGGGUGCCAUCGGCACAGGCACACAACCCCCCGAGCCCCAGCAAAGCGCGCCCUGGCGGGAUGGAGUUCAGCCCGGCCUCUGUUCUGCUGCAGCCUGCGGUGGCCGGCAGGGUCCCCCAGAGGAGAUGGCAAAGCCAAUGAGUAAUAAGGAGAACUGAUGUUUUUCCAAGCAGAAACCAGCCUGACUCACCACUAUUUUGUUUCUUUUAUUGUUAUUUGUAUUGCUCUGAUGCCAGACAUCAGAUCUCAGUUAUUGAGCCCAGGAUUUUAUCACCAUAUAACAGGAGAAAGUGCCCUCUGAAAUGCUUCCAAACUAAAUCAAUAGGAGGGAAAAAAAGGAAAAAAGCAGAGCAGCUUGCUGCAAUCCAGGGCAGAGCACUUCUCGACACCCGGCUGCUGAGCUUGUCAUGAAGUCAGUGUCUGCUCCUGGCAGGGCUGCCACCAAAGAGGCUCUCCGGAGCUCAUAGAGUUCUCCACAUUGCACAUACUGCCCUGCCCUCUGCAGCUACCUAACGGACUCAGGGAUGCAUGAGGCUGAAGGCAGAGCAGGGACAUCUGCCUACAAAGCCCCCAGAACAGCAGUAAUUGCCCAUUAGCAGAGCGACCCAGGAGGCUGCAUGGUGAUGUCUGUGGCACUUCUGUGAGCUCCCAGUAGGGAGAUGUGCUUGGCCAAUUCUGCUCGGGGAAGGUGGACAGCAGCAGGGCUGCAUGAUGGACAGAUGGACGGACGGACGGAUGGAUGCAACUGUGGGAUCUCUGCUCCUCUCCUUCCUGCACUGUUUGCAUGAAUCCUUCCAAAGCUUUUUGGGUGCUUUUUUCUCCCUCCAAGCGGAGGAAACGUGCAUGCUUUUGGUUUUCUUACCCCCCAUUAAUUUCCUCAGUUCUGAAGCAGAACGGAUCUAAUUAUCCAGACAAAUAGAACAGCUUUGAAAAAUGGCCUGUUCUUUGGUACACCUGGCAUCUGGAGUUGGUAAAAACUCAGGAACUUCUCAAAUGCUCCUUGUGGUUGAGAGGAAGGGAGGGUGAUAUUUAGUCAAUGAUCUUUGCCCUCAUUUUUAAGGAAAAAAACAACAACCCAUCAAUUCUGCUGCUGGCAAUUGCAAAAGCAGUUAGGCUGAGCUCUCUCUUAAAUGAACAAACACUUACGGAUCUAUUUAUACCUGCCCUGAAGCAG